Molecule: non-coding RNA, 63 nt
Organism: Fukomys damarensis (Damara mole-rat)
Lineage: Eukaryota; Metazoa; Chordata; Mammalia; Rodentia; Bathyergidae
Source: Rfam
GGGAAACAAGGAUGAGGCUGGGGAGAUGAGCCACCCCGAGUUCUCCUCAAGAGAAUAGGCUCA